GUACGUACAGGCUGUCCUGAUGCAGUCGAGCGGUAACAGAGAGAAAGCUUGCUUUCUUUGCUGACGAGCGGCGGACGGGUGAGUAAUGCCUGGGAAUAUGCCUUGAUGUGGGGGAUAACCAUUGGAAACGAUGGCUAAUACCGCAUAAUGCCUACGGGCCAAAGAGGGGGAUCUUCGGACCUCUCGCGUCAAGAUUAGCCCAGGUGGGAUUAGCUAGUUGGUGAGGUAAUGGCUCACCAAGGCGACGAUCCCUAGCUGGUCUGAGAGGAUGAUCAGCCACACUGGAACUGAGACACGGUCCAGACUCCUACGGGAGGCAGCAGUGGGGAAUAUUGCACAAUGGGCGCAAGCCUGAUGCAGCCAUGCCGCGUGUGUGAAGAAGGCCUUCGGGUUGUAAAGCACUUUCAGUCGUGAGGAAGGUAGUUGCGUUAAUAGCGUAAUUAUUUGACGUUAGCGACAGAAGAAGCACCGGCUAACUCCGUGCCAGCAGCCGCGGUAAUACGGAGGGUGCGAGCGUUAAUCGGAAUUACUGGGCGUAAAGCGCAUGCAGGUGGUUUGUUAAGUCAGAUGUGAAAGCCCGGGGCUCAACCUCGGAAUUGCAUUUGAAACUGGCAGACUAGAGUACUGUAGAGGGGGGUAGAAUUUCAGGUGUAGCGGUGAAA
RNAcentral lists this ribosomal RNA (662 nucleotides) under Vibrio sp. MR06-69. Its description in RNAcentral is "bacterial SSU rRNA". It matches the Rfam family "Bacterial small subunit ribosomal RNA", at positions 36 to 686 of the family's 1533-position model. The record is from RNAcentral. Lineage: Bacteria; Pseudomonadati; Pseudomonadota; Gammaproteobacteria; Vibrionales; Vibrionaceae.